RNAcentral lists this ribosomal RNA (400 nucleotides) under uncultured bacterium. RNAcentral's name for it is "bacterial SSU rRNA". It matches the Rfam family "Bacterial small subunit ribosomal RNA", at positions 358 to 774 of the family's 1533-position model. The record is from RNAcentral.
GGAAUAUUGCACAAUGGAGGAAACUCUGAUGCAGCGACGCCGCGUGAGUGAAGAAGGUCUUCGGAUCGUAAAACUCUGUCCUUGGUGACGAAAAAAUGACGGUAGCCAAGGAGGAAGCCCCGGCUAACUACGUGCCAGCAGCCGCGGUAAUACGUAGGGGGCGAGCGUUGUCCGGAUUUACUGGGCGUAAAGGGUGAGUAGGCGGUAAUAUGUGUCAGAUGUAAAAGGCUAUGGCUUAACCAUAGUUAGCAUUUGAAACUGUAUUACUUGAGUGCAGGAGAGGUAAGUGGAAUUCCUAGUGUAGCGGUGAAAUGCGUAGAUAUUAGGAGGAACACCAGUGGCGAAGGCGACUUACUGGACUGUAACUGACGCUGAGUCACGAAAGCGUGGGUAGCAAACA